AGUGAAACAGCUAAUGUUUGGAACCAGUAGGAAAGGGUUAGAUAAUAAGACAGAAAAUAUCAAAAUGCCACUAUAUAGAUCCAUGGUGUGCCCAUACCUUGAUGCUGUUUGCAGUUCUGGUCAUCCCAUCUCAAAAAGAUAUAUUAGAAUUGGAAAAAGUACAGAGAAGAGGAACAAAAAUGAUUAGGGGUAUGGAAUGGUUUCCAUACAAGG
Molecule: long non-coding RNA, 213 nt
Organism: Dermochelys coriacea (leatherback sea turtle)
Lineage: Eukaryota; Metazoa; Chordata; Testudines; Dermochelyidae
Exons: 3
Source: RefSeq, a predicted model, not a curated record